RNAcentral lists this ribosomal RNA (210 nucleotides) under uncultured Streptococcus sp. RNAcentral describes it as "partial 16S ribosomal RNA". It matches the Rfam family "Bacterial small subunit ribosomal RNA", at positions 1175 to 1382 of the family's 1533-position model. Lineage: Bacteria; Bacillati; Bacillota; Bacilli; Lactobacillales; Streptococcaceae. The record is from RNAcentral.
UGGGAUGACGUCAAAUCAUCAUGCCCCUUAUGACCUGGGCUACACACGUGCUACAAUGGUUGGUACAACGAGUUGCGAGUCGGUGACGGCGAGCGUAAUCUACUUAAAGCCAAUCUCAGUUCGGAUUGUAGGCUGCAACUCGCCUACAUGAAGUCGGAAUCGCUAGUAAUCGCGGAUCAGCACGCCGCGGUGAAUACGUUCCCGGGCCUU